UGGCUCAGAUUGAACGCUGGCGGCAGGCCUAACACAUGCAAGUCGAGCGGUAGCACAGAGAGCUUGCUCUCGGGUGACGAGCGGCGGACGGGUGAGUAAUGUCUGGGAAACUGCCUGAUGGAGGGGGAUAACUACUGGAAACGGUAGCUAAUACCGCAUAACGUCGCAAGACCAAAGUGGGGGACCUUCGGGCCUCAUGCCAUCAGAUGUGCCCAGAUGGGAUUAGCUAGUAGGUGGGGUAAUGGCUCACCUAGGCGACGAUCCCUAGCUGGUCUGAGAGGAUGACCAGCCACACUGGAACUGAGACACGGUCCAGACUCCUACGGGAGGCAGCAGUGGGGAAUAUUGCACAAUGGGCGCAAGCCUGAUGCAGCCAUGCCGCGUGUAUGAAGAAGGCCUUCGGGUUGUAAAGUACUUUCAGCGAGGAGGAAGGCGUUAAGGUUAAUAACCUUGGUGAUUGACGUUACUCGCAGAAGAAGCACCGGCUAACUCCGUGCCAGCAGCCGCGGUAAUACGGAGGGUGCAAGCGUUAAUCGGAAUUACUGGGCGUAAAGCGCACGCAGGCGGUCUGUUAAGUCAGAUGUGAAAUCCCCGGGCUCAACCUGGGAACUGCAUUUGAAACUGGCAGGCUUGAGUCUUGUAGAGGGGGGUAGAAUUCCAGGUGUAGCGGUGAAAUGCGUAGAGAUCUGGAGGAAUACCGGUGGCGAAGGCGGCCCCCUGGACAAAGACUGACG
RNAcentral lists this ribosomal RNA (734 nucleotides) under Klebsiella sp. Its description in RNAcentral is "bacterial SSU rRNA". It matches the Rfam family "Bacterial small subunit ribosomal RNA", at positions 20 to 745 of the family's 1533-position model. The record is from RNAcentral. Lineage: Bacteria; Pseudomonadati; Pseudomonadota; Gammaproteobacteria; Enterobacterales; Enterobacteriaceae.